AAUGGUUGCAUUUUUUUAGAGAUUGAAAGCCAAAGACAUAGGAGAGCUUCAUUCUUUCAGGAUUAAUAACUCAACUUUGGGGCUAACACCACAGGCACCUACUUGUGUGAGGAGGCGAUUUUCUGAGCUUUAGAAAAGAGGGAAAGGCGAUUUAAGGCAAGUAAAGAACUCAAACCAGCUCUGGAGUUAACGGCACGGAAGACUGUGUGAGAGGAGGCGAUCUCCUCAGCUUCUUCAGAAGAGAGGGAAAGACAGUA
Molecule: long non-coding RNA, 257 nt
Organism: Labeo rohita (rohu)
Lineage: Eukaryota; Metazoa; Chordata; Actinopteri; Cypriniformes; Cyprinidae
Exons: 3
Source: RefSeq, a predicted model, not a curated record